This 385-nucleotide long non-coding RNA is filed under the name Dromaius novaehollandiae (emu). Its description in RNAcentral is "lncRNA (ENSDNVG00000011691.1)". Lineage: Eukaryota; Metazoa; Chordata; Aves; Casuariiformes; Dromaiidae. The record is from RNAcentral.
UGUCUGGGAUACCUGGGAUGAUGCGACACUUGUCAAUAAGGAAAACUUAUGGAGUCCAGUGACUUGCUGGAGCCCAGGUACCGUGGACUGUAUGAAUACCUGCUAACAGUGUAAAACAGAUCAACUCCUUCAUCUGGCCCAGUCCAGCUCUGCGCAAGCGUUUGAGUGGUAGGACUGAGAAGAAGGAGCAGGAAACCGAAUGAGGCAGAACUGCAUAUUUGGUGGUCACUCCAAUCAUCCCGUCAAAACUACAAAAUAUUCUGUGCUUUAUACCUGAAAAUAUCAAGGAGAGUCUCCAGACAGAUCCCCAAAUCAUUGUGUUAAAGUGACACUUGUACUAGUCCGGCAGAGGAGAUCCUAGGAGUCAAGGCUAUACGCAGGUAUG